UACAGAGGUCUCAAGCGUUGUUCGGAAUUACUGGGCGUAAAGGGCGUGUAGGUUGGGGCGCAAGUCAAUCGUGAAAUCAUCGGGCCUAACCUGGUGGCUGCGGUUGAUACUGUGACUCUGGAGCAUUACAGGGGGGCUUAGAAUUUACGGUGUAGCAGUGAAAUGCGUAGAUAUCGUAAGGAAUACCAAUAGCGAAGGCAGAGCCCUGGGUAAUUGCUGACACUGAAGCGCGAAGGCUAGGGGAGCAAACGGG
RNAcentral lists this ribosomal RNA (253 nucleotides) under uncultured bacterium. Its description in RNAcentral is "partial 16S ribosomal RNA". It matches the Rfam family "Bacterial small subunit ribosomal RNA", at positions 524 to 776 of the family's 1533-position model. The record is from RNAcentral.